RNAcentral lists this long non-coding RNA (1192 nucleotides) under Homo sapiens (human). RNAcentral describes it as "HSALNT0308450". Lineage: Eukaryota; Metazoa; Chordata; Mammalia; Primates; Hominidae. The record is from RNAcentral.
GCGCGCGGAGGCCCGGGGUGCGGGGGCAGGGCGCGGCUGCCGUGGGGCCUACCGGCCCGAGGCCUACCGGCGCCCCCCCCUCCCGCCGCACACCCCCACCUGGCCCGCGCAGGCCGCUCCGCUCGCCCCACUCCGGCUCCGGCUGGACCCCUGCCCGCCCGCCGUCGCCGCCCGCGGGCGCCCCGGAGGCCCUCAGGCCCCCGGCCUCCACCACCCGGGCGCCGGCCCCACUCACCCUUUCAUUCUCCGCCCGGGGCCUGGCGUGGGCCGGCGAAUCCCCGGCCUCACAUCAGAGUGAGAGGCGCUGGCAAUGGACUAGGAAGCUCGGCUGCCGCUGCUACUGCUCCCCCCUGGGCUCCGGCGAGAGCCUUUCCCUGUCAAGCAAGAGGGGUGAGGAUCAUAUUUUUAUUUUGGAAACUAAAAAGUGCUCCCAGGGUCGGUGAUUAUUAAGGGGAAAUCCCUGAAUAUACUCUCCAGCCAAGAAGGCAGGGCUGCCGGGGCUGUACAAGAAGAGGCAGCAGCCUCCUACAGCACCACUACAGGCACUGCGAGGACAUAACACCAGAGAGCUGCUCCUCUGCCCUCCGAAACGACAACUUUCCUACCAUCUUGGAGGCAGAGCAAAGGGGGGCCAGGGGGAAAAGUGCACCCGCUCCCGAUAAAGUACAAAUUUUUACUUCUCAUCUCUGGAAAAAAGUCCACACCGGCCGUCUACACCCGCGCCUGGGGGAGAAAGCAGGGAAGAAACGGGGGGUGCAUGAGAAACGUUUUCAUUUGCUCCAGGGGGAAAAAUGUUUCUGCAUCUUCUGAUGGAAAGAAAUCUUUACAAGACACAGGUUUUCCGGUGGUUAUUGUUUUUUAUUUUCUGUUUUUAAUUUUUUUCAUGUUAGUGACAGUGAUAUUUUAAUAUUUUUUUAAGCCAGUAAUAAUUUUUCUCCAUUACAGGGCUAAGUUCUGUGGCUGGUGGUCAGUUUGUAAAUUUAUACUUAAAGAGACUUAAUAGUAACUUCAUUUAUUUGUCUGGUUAUGUUAUUGUAUAUAUAAAUAUUUAUGUUUUCAUAUAUUGCAUAUAAAAAUUUGUGUUACAUGUUACUCUCAGAACAGAUUGCUGUAAGACAAUUGUAAAAAAACAUGUCUUUCGUCUGUUUCUCAAAGCAAUGUAAAUAAAACCUAUGGACUGUCCAGAAAGGCA